Molecule: ribosomal RNA, 468 nt
Filed under: uncultured bacterium
Lineage: Bacteria
Description: partial 16S ribosomal RNA
Rfam family: Bacterial small subunit ribosomal RNA
Source: RNAcentral
GACGAACGCUGGCGGCGUGCUUAACACAUGCAAGUCGAACGGAAAGGCCCUGCUUUUGUGGGGUGCUCGAGUGGCGAACGGGUGAGUAACACGUGAGUAACCUGCCCUUGACUUUGGGAUAACUUCAGGAGACUGGGGCUAAUACCGGAUAUGAGCUCCUGCUGCAUGGUGGUGGUUGGAAAGUUUCGGCGGUUGGGGAUGGACUCGCGGCUUAUCAGCUUGUUGGUGGGGUAGUGGCUUUCCAAGUCUUUGACGGGUAGCCGGCCUGGGAGGGUGACCGGCCACAUUGGGACUGAGAUACGGCCCAGACUCCUACGGGAGGCAGCAGUGGGGAAUAUGGCACAAUGGGCGGAAGCCUGAUGCAGCAACGCCGCGUGCGGGAUGACGGCCUUCGGGUUGUAAACCGCUUUCGCCUGUGACGAAGCGUGAGUGACGGUAAUGGGUAAAGAAGCACCGGCUAACUACGUG